This 29-nucleotide small RNA is filed under the name Bombyx mori (domestic silkworm). RNAcentral's name for it is "ovarian small RNA-35163". Lineage: Eukaryota; Metazoa; Arthropoda; Insecta; Lepidoptera; Bombycidae. The record is from RNAcentral.
UGGUCUCCCACCAGCCAUGCCAUCCAUCC